UGUCGGAGCCUCCGGGCCUGGGACGGACUCCUCAUGGUCCGGUUUCGGGUUCAGGUUCUCCGGCU
This is a microRNA precursor of Astatotilapia calliptera (eastern happy), 65 nucleotides long. The record is from Ensembl. Lineage: Eukaryota; Metazoa; Chordata; Actinopteri; Cichliformes; Cichlidae.